GUGCCAGCCGCCGCGGUAAUACCGGCAGCCCGAGUGAUGGCCGAUCUUAUUGGGCCUAAAGCGUCCGUAGCUGGCUGCACAAGUCCGUCGGGAAAUCCACUCGCUUAACGAGUGGGCGUCCGGCGGAAACUGUGCGGCUUGGGACCGGAAGAUCCAAGGGGUACGUCCGGGGUAGGAGUGAAAUCCUAUAAUCCCGCACGGACCACCGAUGGCGAAAGCACUUCGAGAAAACGGAUCCGACAGUGAGGGACGAAAGCCAGGGUCUCCAACCGGAUUAGAUACCCUGUAGUCC
This 292-nucleotide ribosomal RNA is filed under the name uncultured bacterium. RNAcentral describes it as "partial 16S ribosomal RNA". It matches the Rfam family "Archaeal small subunit ribosomal RNA", at positions 455 to 747 of the family's 1478-position model. The record is from RNAcentral.